This 400-nucleotide ribosomal RNA is filed under the name uncultured bacterium. RNAcentral describes it as "bacterial SSU rRNA". It matches the Rfam family "Bacterial small subunit ribosomal RNA", at positions 356 to 773 of the family's 1533-position model. The record is from RNAcentral.
GGGGAAUAUUGGACAAUGGGGGCAACCCUGAUCCAGCCAUGCCGCGUGAAUGAUGAAGGCCUUCGGGUUGUAAAGUUCUUUUAGCGGGGAAAAUAAUGAUGGUACCCGCAGAAAAAGCACCGGCUAACUUCGUGCCAGCAGCCGCGGUAAUACGAAGGGUGCUAGCGUUGCUCGGAAUUACUGGGCGUAAAGGGUUUGUAGGCGGUCUUUUAAGCUAGUGGUGAAAGCCCAGGGCUCAACCCUGGAAUUGCCAUUAGAACUGGAAGGCUAGAGAGUGUUAGAGGUAAGUGGAAUUCCUAGUGUAGGAGUGAAAUCCGUAGAGAUUAGGAGGAAUAUCGAUGGCGAAGGCAGCUUACUGGGACAUUUCUGACGCUGAAAAACGAAAGCGUGGGUAGCAAAC